GCAAUUUUAUAUGAACAAUAGCAGAGUAAUUAUAUUGCAUCAAUAAAAGAUGCAAUAUCCCUUCGUUACAUAUUAACCCAAGAAAACAUAAUACAAGAGCAUUUCACCCCAAAACAGUUCUCCUUCCCCAAAAGACCUUGCGAUGAGCAUCAAAUCCAAACUUAGACAACACACCCAUCUCUCUCUAUCUAUCUAUCUAUGUGAGGGAAUAAAACUAAAUUUAUUUUCUCUACCUCUUUUUACUGCAUCAACUUUUUCGUGAUGAAUCGCCCAUCAAGACAGUGAAGAUCGAGACAAUUUACUUCCUUGCCUCCAUGGACAUGAUUGAAUCGGUGGAGACCAUGCUCAAGGAGAAGUAGAUGGUAAUUAUCAGAUGUUUUAGCUUGCCCAAUUUUUUCCACCAGGUUAUUCAAAUUCAGUCUCAAAUAGACGAGCCUCGAGCAGAAGUCACAAAUUUCUUGGAAAUGUCUGCGGGAUGUCAAGAUUGAUCAUUUAUGGCUGUUCAGGAUAAGAGUGGCAAUCCCCAGGGAUCCUCAAAAGUGGAAUUGUUGAUCCAUUGCCUGAUCUUUUGAAGGUCAUGAUUAGAUGGCUUGUAAGGUGGCAUGUGAUGCCUUCGACUUGUGUUCCAGACAAAUGUAUUAUCAACAUUUAUGAAGAGGGCGAUUGCAUACCACCACAUAUUAACAAUCAUGAUUUUGUGUGCCCGUUUUGUACUGUUUCAUUCCUUAGCGAGUGCAACAUUGUGUUCGAAUCCAACUUGAAAAUAGUGGGUCCUGGUGAAUUUGUUGGUGCAAUUUUAAUAUCGUUACCAGUGGAGCCAGAUUUCCAUCACAUUUUUAGAAGAAUGGUUGAAUAUUAAAAAAAAUUGGAUAUACUUCUGAGCAUGAUUUACAAGGCUUGCAACCCUUGUCAUAUGAAGCGGACACAUAAAAGAAAUCAAGCUCCUCCAGGCCAAGAUUUUCCACAAAAAAACAGUCAGUGAGAUAAGAAGAGAGCAUGGAAAGAGUAAAGACUGGAGUAAUGUAUAUUAUGUUAGGAUCUGUGGAUGAGCUCUACUUAUAUGGUAUGCAGUUUUAGAAAAUGGUUUGAGUUUACUAGGUACAUUGGAUGUUCUUUUUGGGUUGGUUAUCUAUUGUUGGAGGAGAGGAAUAAGGGGGCAUAGUCAGCAGAGGAAGACCAAAAAUUGAAAUCUUAUAUAUUAUGAGAUUUGGCAUUUGGAACUGGAGCCAUAUGCCUAAAUUUGCUGGACUUUCAAGAAAGAGGAAAAUUUGUAGACUUCGAUGGAUGAACUAUCUUUGCCCUGUGUUAAGAGAGGACCCUUUACCAUAGAAGAAGUCAAAAUUGUCAUCAAAAUUUAUCAGGAACUUGGGAAUAGAUGGUCAGCUAUUGCAGGAAGAUUAUCUGCAAGAACAGAUAACCAAAUAAAAAAUUUGUUCCACACUCACUUAAAGAAGCAUUUGGGAGUGAAAACUGAUGCCUUGAUGAAGAGGAGAAAAAGGAUAUUUGUGAAGAAAGCCAAAGAAAAUGAGAUGAAAAAUAAUAUUGAUGCUGACAAACCAUCGCCUGAUGUUUGUAAUUCAUCAGAGAAGAGUAACAUGACUAUUGUUACAUGGGAAGAAAAACAAACGAGGGAUAUUGUUUCUAUUAAUGCAGUUGUGGAUGAAGCAGCAGACAUGGAAGUUAGGAGGCCAGUUACAUUGGAAGGCUACCCAGAAAUUGAAACAAAUAACCUUGGUUGUCAUCUUUACCAGUUUGAGUACCCUCAGCCGUGUACUAUUUCUGAUUUUGAUUUCUUCCAUCAGUUUGAUGUACUUUUUUGAGAUACUGAACAUCUUAGUAUUUUUUGAGAAGAACCCUACUAUCUUUCUCGAAGGAAGGAGGAGUAUAAAAGUAUGUGUGCAGCGCAACUGAUCCAUACCAUGUUGCUCCUUCAAUUAUAUAUGAUCAUUGUAUUCCUCAAA
RNA transcript from Solanum dulcamara, 1961 nucleotides. It is a transcript of the gene named transcription factor MYB15-like, with no coding region annotated. NCBI's taxonomy places the organism in Eukaryota, Viridiplantae, Streptophyta, Magnoliopsida, Solanales, Solanaceae. The transcript is spliced from 7 exons. The record is from RefSeq and is a predicted model, not a curated record.